Molecule: ribosomal RNA, 445 nt
Filed under: uncultured bacterium
Lineage: Bacteria
Description: partial 16S ribosomal RNA
Rfam family: Bacterial small subunit ribosomal RNA
Source: RNAcentral
GUGAGGAAUAUUGGUCAAUGGGCGCAAGCCUGAACCAGCCAUGCCGCGUGCAGGAAGACGGUCCUAUGGAUUGUAAACUGCUUUUAUUUGGGAAUAAACUCCGGUACGUGUACCGGCCUGAAGGUACCAAAUGAAUAAGCACCGGCUAACUCCGUGCCAGCAGCCGCGGUAAUACGGAGGGUGAAAGCGUUAUCCGGAAUCAUUGGGUUUAAAGGGUCCGCAGGCGGUCUUAUAAGUCAGUGGUGAAAGCCUACAGCUCAACUGUAGAACUGCCAUUGAUACUGUAGGACUUGAAUUCGAUCGAAGUGGGCGGAAUGUGACAUGUAGCGGUGAAAUGCUUAGAUAUGUCACAGAACACCGAUAGCGAAGGCAGCUCACUAGGUCUGGAUUGACGCUCAGGGACGAAAGCGUGGGGAGCAAACAGGAUUAGAAACCCGAGUAGUCC